This 274-nucleotide ribosomal RNA is filed under the name uncultured bacterium. RNAcentral's name for it is "partial 16S ribosomal RNA". It matches the Rfam family "Bacterial small subunit ribosomal RNA", at positions 523 to 796 of the family's 1533-position model. The record is from RNAcentral.
AGACGAAGGUGGCGAGCGUUACUCGGAUUUACUGGGCAUAAAGCGCGCGUAGGCGGCUUGGUCAGUCGGAGGUGAAAGCCCGCAGCUCAACUGCGGAACUGCCCCCGAUACUGCCAGGCUUGAGUGCAGGAGAGGUGAUUGGAACUCCAGGUGUAGCGGUGAAAUGCGUAGAUAUCUGGAGGAACACCAGAGGCGAAGGCGAAUCACUGGACUGCAACUGACGCUAAGGCGCGAAAGCUAGCGGAGCGAACAGGAUUAGAAACCCCGGUAGUCC